RNAcentral lists this ribosomal RNA (238 nucleotides) under uncultured bacterium. Its description in RNAcentral is "partial 16S ribosomal RNA". It matches the Rfam family "Bacterial small subunit ribosomal RNA", at positions 96 to 334 of the family's 1533-position model. The record is from RNAcentral.
UGGCGGACGGGUGAGUAACGCGUGGGUAACCUUCCUUGUACUGGGGGACAACAGUUAGAAAUGACUGCUAAUACCGCAUAAGCGCACAGUAUCGCAUGAUACAGUGUGAAAAACUCCGGUGGUACAAGAUGGACCCGCGUCUGAUUAGCUAGUUGGUGGGGUAACGGCCCACCAAAGCGACGAUCAGUAGCCGACCUGAGAGGGUGACCGGCCACAUUGGGACUGAGACACGGCCCAA